This 215-nucleotide ribosomal RNA is filed under the name uncultured bacterium. Its description in RNAcentral is "partial 16S ribosomal RNA". It matches the Rfam family "Bacterial small subunit ribosomal RNA", at positions 1286 to 1500 of the family's 1533-position model. The record is from RNAcentral.
UCCCAGUUCGGAUUGCAGCCUGCAACUCGGCUGCAUGAAGCUGGAAUCGCUAGUAAUCGCGGAUCAGAAUGCCGCGGUGAAUACGUUCCCGGGUCUUGUACACACCGCCCGUCACACCAUGGGAGUAGGUAAUGCCCGAAGUCGGUGACCUAACCGGAAGGAAGGAGCCGCCGAAGGCAGGACUUAUAACUGGGGUGAAGUCGUAACAAGGUAAC